CAGGUUUCCCGGUGCAGCUCCAAAGCCGCUAGUGCCACCUGACCCGAGAGAUAUUUUCAGAAUGAUUGAUCAAAUUAUACUUUCUCGUUUUGUCAAAAAACGCAAACAACGAGAAGCUUCAUCCAAAUGCAGCGGGCAUUAGCAGUUCACCCUUUUCAAUGCUUCUACUCACCCCGUUUCGAUCCAAAACCUUACUUUUACAACUCUCCUAAAAUUAAUACACUGUAUCCUUAUUCCAAUUCUACUUCUUUUUCACUUUCCAGAGAGCUAAAAGUUCUUGCUGCUAACAAACAGCAACCCCAUGAUAUAAUAAAUUCUGAAAAUAGAGAUGAUGAAAAUGAGUUGUUACAAGAAAAGGUUAUUGCUGCUGCUGCUGCUGAUGAAUUGGAUUUGGGAUGGUUACCUGCCUUUCCUCACGUUUUGACUGCUUCAAUGUCCAAUUUCCUAUUUGGUUAUCACAUUGGAGUAAUGAAUGGUCCUAUUGUAUCGAUAGCGAAAGAGCUUGGGUUUGAGGGGAAUUCAUUUCUUGAAGGACUUGUGGUGAGCAUAUUUAUUGUUGGUGCAUUCAUAGGAAGCAUAGCCUCUGGUUCCCUUGUUGAUAAACUUGGUUAUCGUCGCACAUUUCAAAUUGACACACUACCACUUAUUCUUGGGGCAAUUGUAAGUGCACAAGCUCAUUCCAUUGAAGAAAUGCUCUUGGGAAGAUUCCUUGUUGGCCUUGGUAUUGGUGUUAAUACAGUAUUAGUUCCAAUUUAUAUUUCUGAGGUCGCUCCAACGCAGUAUAGGGGCUCCCUGGGGUCAUUAUGUCAAAUUGGUACAUGUGUUGGUAUCAUUGCAUCACUUUGUCUGGCAAUUCCCUCAGAAAAUGAUCCGCACUGGUGGAGGACAAUGCUCUAUAUUGCAAGUGUUCCAGGAUUUAUUCUUGCUCUUGGUAUGCAAUUUUCUGUUGAGAGCCCCCGCUGGCUAUGUAAGGCUGGGAGACUUGAUGAGGCAAAAAAGGUCAUCAGAAACAUAUGGGGUUCAUCAGAAGUAGAUAAAGCUAUCGAAGAGUUUGGAUCCGUCAUAAAAAAUGAUGGCAGUGACUUGGACAGCUGUUGGCUGGAACUCCUAGAGGAACCACACUCUAGAGUUGCUACCAUUGGAGGUGCCUUGUUUGUACUUCAACAGUUCGCUGGUAUAAAUGGAGUUCUCUACUUCUCAUCCUUGACUUUCAAAGAUGUUGGAAUCUCAAGCAGCGCUUUAGCAAGCUUAUAUGUAGGACUGACCAACUUUGCAGGUGCACUAUGUGCUUUAUACUUGAUGGAUAAGCAGGGGAGGCAGAGGCUUCUAGUAGGAAGCUAUGCUGGAAUGGCUUUAUCAAUGUUUCUUAUUGUCUGUGCUAUCAGCUUUCCAUUGGAAGGUGAAAUAAGCAACAACUUAUCAAUUGUCGGAACCAUCUUGUAUAUUUUCACCUUUGCUGUUGGAGCUGGGCCUGUAACUGGUCUUAUAAUACCAGAGCUCAGCAGCAGCAGGAUGCGAGGGAAGAUAAUGGGCUUUAGUUUCUCUGUUCAUUGGGUCUGCAACUUCUUGGUGGGUUUGUUUUUUCUGGAACUCGUUGAGAAAUUUGGUGUUGCUCCAGUUUAUGGAAGCUUCGGUGCUUUUUCUUUGAUGGCAGCAGCAUUUGCUUACUAUUUUAUAGUUGAGACUAAAGGCCGAUCUCUUGAAGAGAUUGAGAUGUCACUAAAUCCCAAUUUUCAGGGGAAACGUAAUUCAGAAUGAUCCCAUCUCAUGCUGAAAAAAGAUUGGAGAUUGUGGACAAAUAGUAGGUGCUUGUGCUGAUCACUAAGCUGCACGAGAGUGCGCUUUUGCUCAUUUCAUUUGGACCAUCUUGACGCAUUGAUUGGGUCUUUGUUAUUGAACCUUCACCUAACAGGGGAUUACUGCUGUGUGUGGUACAGUGUCACCUCCAUUAUUAGUAGGCUCCAAUGAAAUGAUGGCACCGUUUUCAGCUUCAAAGGAGGAGAAUUGGACUCCUGACCUUAGCAAUUUUUGAAGGGAUAAAUUAUGUAAGAAUAGAAAAGGAAGGUAACUUUAGUGGAGUAAAUGAUGUAUUCCUUUUGCUUAUUAUAAUCCCCUCUUUUCAUCGAAAAACUUAUAUACAUACAAGAUAGGAAAAAUCUUUCUCAGCUAACAAUGUUUAGAGAAAAGAAAAAAGGGAAAGACUAGAGCUAUUUGGAGAUUAUUGCACUAUUCUCCAUCUUGAAUUCUGUAACUUAUGUUCAACUUCAGCUUAUUAUUGUCU
RNA transcript from Nicotiana tabacum (common tobacco), 2281 nucleotides. It is a transcript of the gene named putative plastidic glucose transporter 1, with no coding region annotated. The record is from RefSeq and is a predicted model, not a curated record. Lineage: Eukaryota; Viridiplantae; Streptophyta; Magnoliopsida; Solanales; Solanaceae.